UACUUUCAGCAGUGAGGAAGGUGGAGUCGUUAAUAGCGGCCUCAUUUGACGUUUAGCUGCAGAAGAAGCACCGGCUAACUCCGUGCCAGCAGCCGCGGUAAUACGGAGGGUGCGAGCGUUAAUCGGAAUUACUGGGCGUAAAGACGCAUGCAGGUGGUUUGGUUUAAGUUCAGAUGUGAAAGACCCGGGGCGUCAACCUCGGAAUAGCAUUUGAAACUAGGCAGACUAGAGUACUGUAGAGGGGGGUAGGAAGUUUCUAGGUGUAGCGGUGAAAUGCGUAGAGAUCUGAAGGAAUACCGGUGGCGAAGGCGGCCCCCCUGGACAGAUACUGACACUCAGAUGCGAAAGCGUGGGGAGCAAACAGGAUUAGAUACCCUGGUAG
Molecule: ribosomal RNA, 382 nt
Filed under: uncultured bacterium
Lineage: Bacteria
Description: bacterial SSU rRNA
Rfam family: Bacterial small subunit ribosomal RNA
Source: RNAcentral